Molecule: ribosomal RNA, 429 nt
Filed under: Gemmatimonadota bacterium
Lineage: Bacteria; Pseudomonadati; Gemmatimonadota
Description: Gemmatimonadetes bacterium partial 16S ribosomal RNA
Rfam family: Bacterial small subunit ribosomal RNA
Source: RNAcentral
UAGGGAAUCUUCGGCAAUGGACGAAAGUCUGACCGAGCAACGCCGCGUGAGUGAAGAAGGUUUUCGGAUCGUAAAACUCUGUUGUUAGAGAAGAACAAGGACGUUAGUAACUGAACGUCCCCUGACGGUAUCUAACCAGAAAGCCACGGCUAACUACGUGCCAGCAGCCGCGGUAAUACGUAGGUGGCAAGCGCUGUCCGGAUUUAUUGGGCGUAAAGCGAGCGCAGGCGGUUUCUUAAGUCUGAUGUGAAAGCCCCCGGCUCAACCGGGGAGGGUCAUUGGAAACUGGGAGACUUGGGUGCAGAAGAGGAGAGUGUAAUUCCAUGUGUAGCGGUGAAAUGCGUAGAUAUAUGGAGGAACACCAGUGGCGAAGGCGGCUCUCUGGUCUGUAACUGACGCUGAGGCUCGAAAGCGUGGGGAGCAAACAGG